AUUGAACGCUGGCGGCAGGCCUAACACAUGCAAGUCGAACGGUAACAGGAAGAAGCUUGCUUCUUUGCUGACGAGUGGCGGACGGGUGAGUAAUGUCUGGGAAACUGCCUGAUGGAGGGGGAUAACUACUGGAAACGGUAGCUAAUACCGCAUAACGUCGCAAGACCAAAGAGGGGGACCUUCGGGCCUCUUGCCAUCGGAGGUGCCCAGAUGGGAUUAGCUAGUAGGUGGGGUAACGGCUCACCUAGGCGACGAUCCCUAGCUGGUCUGAGAGGAUGACCAGCCACACUGGAACUGAGACACGGUCCAGACUCCUACGGGAGGCAGCAGUGGGGAAUAUUGCACAAUGGGCGCAAGCCUGAUGCAGCCAUGCCGCGUGUAUGAAGAAGGCCUUCGGGUUGUAAAGUACUUUCAGCGGGGAGGAAGGGAGUAAAGUUAAUACCUUUGCUCAUUGACGUUACCCGCAGAAGAAGCACCGGCUAACUCCGUG
This 490-nucleotide ribosomal RNA is filed under the name uncultured bacterium. RNAcentral describes it as "partial 16S ribosomal RNA". It matches the Rfam family "Bacterial small subunit ribosomal RNA", at positions 30 to 507 of the family's 1533-position model. The record is from RNAcentral.